GACGAACGCUGGCGGCGUGCUUAACACAUGCAAGUCGAACGGAAAGGCCCUGCUUUUGUGGGGUGCUCGAGUGGCGAACGGGUGAGUAACACGUGAGUAACCUGCCCUUGACUUUGGGAUAACUUCAGGAAACUGGGGCUAAUACCGGAUAGGAGCUCCUGCUGCAUGGUGGGGGUUGGAAAGUUUCGGCGGUUGGGGAUGGACUCGCGGCUUAUCAGCUUGUUGGUGGGGUAGUGGCUUACCAAGGCUUUGACGGGUAGCCGGCCUGAGAGGGUGACCGGCAACAUUGGGACUGGGAUACGGCCCAGACUACUACGGGAGGCAGCAGUGGGGAAUAUUGCACAAUGGGCGGAAGCCUGAUGCAGCAACGCCGCGUGCGGGAUGACGGCCUUCGGGUUGUAAACCGCUUUCGCCUGUGACGAAGCGUGAGUGACGGUAAUGGGUAAAGAAGCACCGGCUAACUACGUG
Molecule: ribosomal RNA, 468 nt
Filed under: uncultured bacterium
Lineage: Bacteria
Description: partial 16S ribosomal RNA
Rfam family: Bacterial small subunit ribosomal RNA
Source: RNAcentral